CAGUUGUAAAAUUCUAGGAAGGGCCUAAUGUAUUUUGAAGACUCAGUAAGGCCUUUUUCAAGGAUGAGUGAGUUUUCACACGUAUUUAGAAGGCUGAGUUACCUGUGCUGAUCACACAACCUCAGUUUUCAGAUGUAUCAUUUUAGUCUAAUAUCCAAAUGUAUUAUAAAAAUAAUUUACAAAGUAAUAAUCUUUUUAAAGUGUUUGAGGAGCCUGAAGAGCCUAUUCCAGAAGAGGAGAUCCCAGAGGAACCACCUAUCGUAGAGGAGGUUGAGGAGGUGGCGCCACCUAGAGUGCCUGAAGUGGUUAAGAAAGCAGUACCUGAAGCACCUACUCCUGUUCCUAAAAAAGUGGAGGCACCACCAGCUAAAGGUAUAGCAGAUCCUUUUACUAAAGAUAAUAUUUUUAAAUUCUUAUCCAUCUUCUUUUAAAAAACAAAAGUAUCUUCUUUCACUGCAUUCUUAGAGUCAUUUAAAUAGAGAGCUUAUGAAAUUAAUUAAAAACCUGUAAAAAUAUAAUUC
RNAcentral lists this long non-coding RNA (521 nucleotides) under Capra hircus (goat). RNAcentral's name for it is "lncRNA (ENSCHIG00000000761.1)". The record is from RNAcentral. Lineage: Eukaryota; Metazoa; Chordata; Mammalia; Artiodactyla; Bovidae.